RNAcentral lists this ribosomal RNA (326 nucleotides) under Allapsidae sp. RNAcentral's name for it is "SSU rRNA". The stretch from base 59 to 326 matches the Rfam family "Eukaryotic small subunit ribosomal RNA", at positions 691 to 955 of the family's 1831-position model. The record is from RNAcentral. Lineage: Eukaryota; Cercozoa; Glissomonadida; Viridiraptoridae.
GAUUUCUGACUUGGCGCACCUGGCCCGCCACGGUUACGUGUGUGAGUGCCGGGAUGCGCCUGUCACUUUUCUGGUAAACUAUUGUGCUCUUCACUGAGCAUGAUAGGUAGCCAGAUCUUUUACUUUGAAAAAAUUAGAGUGUUUCAAGCAGGCAUGUUUUGCUAUGAAUACAUUAGCAUGGAAUAAUAAUCUAGGACUUUCGGUUCUAUUUUGUUGGUGUUCUGGAGCUGAAGUAAUGAUUGAUAGGGAUAGUUGGGGGUGCUAGUAUUCAAUGGCCAGAGGUGAAAUUCUCGGAUUCCUUGAAGACUAACUUAUGCGAAAGCAUU